AGGAUAAACGCUGGCGGCGUGCCUUAUGCAUGCAAGUCGAACGAGGUUAGGAUUUCGGUCCGAAGCCUAGUGGCGGACGGGUGAGUAACACGUACGUGACCUGUCCAGAAGUGGGGAAUAACCAGCCGAAAGGUUGGCUAAUACCGCAUGUGGUUACUUCUUAGAAGGAGCAAACCAAAGUCGCAAGACGCUUUUGGAGGGACGUGCGGCCGAUUAGCUAGUUGGUGUGGUAACGCGCACCAAGGCUGUGAUCGGUAGCUGGUCUGAGAGGAUGAUCAGCCACACGUGGACUGAGACACGGCCCAGACU
RNAcentral lists this ribosomal RNA (309 nucleotides) under uncultured soil bacterium. RNAcentral's name for it is "bacterial SSU rRNA". It matches the Rfam family "Bacterial small subunit ribosomal RNA", at positions 26 to 337 of the family's 1533-position model. The record is from RNAcentral.